RNAcentral lists this long non-coding RNA (513 nucleotides) under Trifolium pratense (red clover). RNAcentral describes it as "long non-coding RNA (TPRA_LNC005970)". The record is from RNAcentral. Lineage: Eukaryota; Viridiplantae; Streptophyta; Magnoliopsida; Fabales; Fabaceae.
AGGAAAUGGAGGCAUGCUUACUAUCGGUUUAUUGAUGGAGUUGGUGACAAGCUCUGUGUAACUUUGAUGGUAAAGUUAAAUAGCUUUCGCAGAAAUCGAGCUCCUGCUAGCGAAGGUUUGUGAAACCUACUUCACAUAUAUUUAUUGAUUAUAACACUAUUGAGUAUUUUGUUCUAUUAACAACGCACUUUCAUUACAUGUCAUGAGUUGCUAUUAUAUAUUUCUAUACAGAACUUCUAACCAUUUAAUUUGUUUCACAUUUUAUCAGGUGUUAUGCAUGUGGCAGAUCAUGAAAUGUUAAACUGAUGAGUUCUACGAGAUGAGAAUGAAAUCAUAUGUAACUACUUGCUGCAGAAUUGAUUUUUCACUUUAUUACUGUUAUAUUCAUAGACAUUGUGGUUCCAAUUGUUGUAUGUUACAGUGCAUUUUCUUAGAAGAGUAGUUUUCGAGUUCAUGUUAUUUCAUGUAAACUAAGUGAAAAAUUCUACAAUGAGAUCCACAAAUAACUAAACA